This 1565-nucleotide long non-coding RNA is filed under the name Sus scrofa (pig). RNAcentral's name for it is "lncRNA (ENSSSCG00000053168.1, ENSSSCG00105000268.1)". Lineage: Eukaryota; Metazoa; Chordata; Mammalia; Artiodactyla; Suidae. The record is from RNAcentral.
CCUUUCUCAUAUAUGUAUGUAUGUACAUAUACAUGUAUGCGUGUAUGUGUUAAUUACAAUAGCAUUCACAGAUCUGAACACACUAUAUUAUAAUCAAUUGUAGACAUUAUCAUUUUCAGAUGUUCAAAUAUGUCAUAAAUUUAUCCAAUACAAACAUCUUCAAACCAGGUAAUCUUUCUUCUUCCCAUGAUCCCAUUGGUUGUCAAACUCCCUUGCUUUCUGGUAGAUAAAAUGUCCCAGACACUACAUGUACUAAAGUUGCCCCAGAUAUGAAAUCAACUUACUAGCAAUGAAGAGGAAUAAAUUGCCUGCUUGGAGCACUUUGGAGCAGGCACAGGGAAACUGUGGCUUGGUCCCUUUGGGGUCCCUUGCUAAGAGGUCUCAGAAGGAUGCAAAUGUUCCAGAUGCUACCAUCUAUUGCAGAAAAGGGUCUACCUGAUGGGUGAAGCUGGUGGUUGCCCAACCAAGCCAAUAUCUGGGUGGAAAAAUCUACCUAGUUCAAGGGUGGAGGACUGGCCCAUUGCGGCUGGGGGUUUCAGCCAAGACAUCAAUCUACAUUUUAUCAGGAAUGGAAUGGAGAUUUUGAUUUCUAGUCAUCCUGAUUCCUCUCCACCCCUCAGGUGGUACACUUGAGCAAGUGUGAUGAGUAUCAUUUUAUUGGAUUCAAAACCAUCAUAGCAUUCAUUUAAAUAAAAGUCUCAACAUUAAAUACAGGCGCAAAUAUAGACACAAACACAAAUGCAUAUACAUGCAACAAAGAAUGAAAUUUUACCUAAAGAAAGAUGAUAUAGUUUUUGAGCUUAAUAAAUUAUAAUUCCCAAAGACUAAUCAGUUAUUAAUAACUUUAACAAAACUAAAUUACCUAGGCUGUUCAUAAGGGCUAGUGAAAGUACAGCCUACAAAAGAGCUAAAAUUCUUAAAAUGUGCUUUGUCCUAAAGGGGCACUUGGUUCAGCCCAGGAGUGGGCACAAGCCAUUUUCCUGACUCUGCUAGUAAUGUCCUCAACCUGUAUGAGCUACUGCACUUUGCCAAAAACACAGGGAACUCUAUCCAAUCUCUUGGGAUAGUGGGAGUUCCUGCUGUGAUGCAGCAGAAGUGAAUCUGGCUAGUAUUCAUGAGGAUGCCAAUUCAGACCCUGGCCUUGCUCAGUGGGUCAGGGUUCCAGCAUUUCCACAAGCUAUGGUGUAGGUUGCAGACAUGGCUUGGAUUCUGCAUCGCAGGGGCUGUGGUGUAGGCCAGCAGCUGCAUCUCCAAUUUGCUCCAGUUUGACCCCUAACCUGAGAAUCUCUAUAUGCCGUGGGUGUGGCCCUAAAAAGACCAAAAAAAAAAAGUCUUAGGAUAUAACAUGAUGGAAGAUAAUAUAAGAAAGCGAAUGCCUAUAUAUGUAUGACUGGGUCACUAAGCUUUUACAGGAGAAACUGACACAACACUAUAAAUCAACUACACUUUAUUUAUUUAUUUUUUAAAGAGUGGCUUAGGUCUGUCUCAUAGAAUCCACUUAGUAUGGUCUCUCUUUCUAAAUGGGUACUGUAUUAGACAAAGACUAUUUUUUUUCACAUAUAUGU